This 746-nucleotide ribosomal RNA is filed under the name uncultured Finegoldia sp. RNAcentral describes it as "bacterial SSU rRNA". It matches the Rfam family "Bacterial small subunit ribosomal RNA", at positions 28 to 776 of the family's 1533-position model. Lineage: Bacteria; Bacillati; Bacillota; Tissierellia; Tissierellales; Peptoniphilaceae. The record is from RNAcentral.
GACGAACGCUGGCGGCGUGCUUAACACAUGCAAGUCGAACGGGAUUUAGUAGACAGAAACCUCGGUGGAAGAUUACUAAUGAGAGUGGCGAACGGGUGAGUAACGCGUGAGCAACCUGCCUAUGACAGUGGGAUAGCCUCGGGAAACCGGGAUUAAUACCGCAUAAAAUCGUAGAAACACAUGUUUCAACGGUCAAAGAUUUAUCGGUCAUAGAUGGGCUCGCGUCUGAUUAGCUAGUUGGUGAGAUAACAGCCCACCAAGGCGACGAUCAGUAGCCGGUCUGAGAGGAUGAACGGCCACAUUGGAACUGAGACACGGUCCAAACUCCUACGGGAGGCAGCAGUGGGGAAUAUUGCACAAUGGGGGAAACCCUGAUGCAGCGACGCCGCGUGAACGAAGAAGGUAUUCGUAUCGUAAAGUUCUGUCCUAUGGGAAGAUAAUGACAGUACCAUAGAAGAAAGCUCCGGCUAAAUACGUGCCAGCAGCCGCGGUAAUACGUAUGGAGCGAGCGUUGUCCGGAAUUAUUGGGCGUAAAGGGUACGCAGGCGGUUUAAUAAGUCGAAUGUUAAAGAUCGGGGCUCAACCCCGUAAAGCAUUGGAAACUGAUAAACUUGAGUAGUGGAGAGGAAAGUGGAAUUCCUAGUGUAGUGGUGAAAUACGUAGAUAUUAGGAGGAAUACCAGUAGCGAGGGCGACUUUCUGGACACAAACUGACGCUGAGGUACGAAAGCGUGGGGAGCAAACAGG